GCUAAUAACCGGAUAAGAUAUCGAACCGCAUGGUUCGAUAGUGAAAGAUGGUUUUGUCUAUCACUUAUAGAUGGACCCGCGCCGUAUUAGCUAGUUGGUGAGGUAACGGCUCACCAAGGCAACGAUACGUAGCCGACCUGAGAGGGUGAUCGGCCACACUGUAACUGAGACACGGUCCAGACUCCUACGGGAGCAGCAGCC
RNAcentral lists this ribosomal RNA (201 nucleotides) under uncultured Staphylococcus sp. RNAcentral describes it as "partial 16S ribosomal RNA". It matches the Rfam family "Bacterial small subunit ribosomal RNA", at positions 162 to 355 of the family's 1533-position model. Lineage: Bacteria; Bacillati; Bacillota; Bacilli; Caryophanales; Staphylococcaceae. The record is from RNAcentral.